ACAAGGUCCUAACAAAAACAGGUUGCGGGAAUAAAACUUGAAACUUGAGUGUGCAAAUAAUAAGCAAGUCCAAACCUUGUAUGUGUAGUCGUUGGACUCAAGGUUCCCACGUAAAAGCAAAAGUACUACUUAUUUCUGGCUAUGCUAAAUUUUUAAAGAAAAAUCAUAUAAUCUAAAAAAUAAAAAUAAAGAAUAAAACAGUUUACUAAUGUAAAGCGACAAUCUAGAUUUUUAUCGACUAAUAAUGUUGACGAAAAUCUUCAAAUAUAUUGAUUACCAUUAGCUAACACGGGGGCCUCGGUGGUCAAGUGGUCUAGGUAGUUACUACUGCAAUCACUAGCCAGACAACACUGAGGUUGUGAGUUCGAACCCCGCUUGUGCGGGUGCACUCGACUCCAAACCUAAUUGACAAUGAUUGUCAGUUUUCCUAUCGAAGUUUUUUUUUCUCCGGGCUUUCCGAUUUCUUCCAGCAAUAAAAAAUGACCGCCACGAAAUAGCCUAAAUGCGGCGCUUAAAAGGGGCGUUAAAACACCAAAAAUCAAAUUAAGUCAAAUUAGAUAACACUGAGCACGAAACUGACUUAACAUUUAUAUGGGUCGUCGUUUUUGCCUUAGUGAAGAUAAAUAAAUUUUAAUUGGCGUUAGAAUUUUCAAUAUUUAUAUUCCUGUUUAAUUGAAUUUGAGUUUUGGAAAUAUUUAAUUACGGUAAAUUAAGGAAAAUUAUCCAGCAUGAUAAUCACUUUUAUCUAGAAUGAUCAAUAUAAGAGAAGGCAAUACAACACCAUUUCAGUUUUGAAGUUCAAUGUUCUCAUUGUAAAGAAAAAAACAACAAAUGCCAAUUAUUUCAAUUUUAGAAUUAUUUUAAGAAGAAAAGAUAAUAGUUGGCCUAAUAUUGUGAUAAAUUACAAUAAUAUACAGUUAAAGCAAUAAACCUGCCACCCAAUAAAGAUCAGAUGUUUUAUGCUUAUUUCUGUUAUUUGGUGGAUAUUGUAGUAUAGUGCAAUGAAAACCCUAAAGAAAAUUUAUGAAAACUGAAAAAAAGUCAUAUAUUUAAAACGGGGACACAAAACUGAAAAUAUUGACUAUUUUAACAUAAAGAUAUGUAUAUAUAAUUAUACAUAUUUUUUAGGAGCGUAUUCUAAUUUUUCGUAUGAAUAAUCUGUGACCGAUAUCAAAAUCCUAUUCCACA
Molecule: long non-coding RNA, 1188 nt
Filed under: Mytilus galloprovincialis (Mediterranean mussel)
Lineage: Eukaryota; Metazoa; Mollusca; Bivalvia; Mytilida; Mytilidae
Source: RNAcentral